RNAcentral lists this ribosomal RNA (253 nucleotides) under uncultured bacterium. RNAcentral's name for it is "partial 16S ribosomal RNA". It matches the Rfam family "Bacterial small subunit ribosomal RNA", at positions 524 to 776 of the family's 1533-position model. The record is from RNAcentral.
UACAGAGGUGGCAAGCGUUGUUCGGAAUUGCUGGGCGUAAAGGGCGCGUAGGCGGUUCGUUAAGUCCUGUGUGAAAUCCCCCGGCUCAACUGGGGAACUGCACAGGAAACUAGCGGGCUUGAGUUCGGGAGAGGGAAGCGGAAUUCCGGGUGUAGCGGUGAAAUGCGUAGAUAUCCGGAGGAACACCGGUGGCGAAGGCGGCUUCCUGGACCGACACUGACGCUGAGGCGCGAAAGCUAGGGGAGCAAACGGG